UAGAAGUUUUCUCUCAACAAAGAAAACAUGAAUUUUACAAACGAUCACAAGCCUACAACCAAGUGAAUAAUUCAUCAAUCAAUCUCAAUAUCAAAUACUCUUACAAUGAUAGUGAUGAGAUUGUUUCUAAUAUCUCAAGACAAUUAUAUGUGGCCAGUCAUUGAAGUGGAAACUUUGUUCCAAUGACAACGAGUACAUCAACCGCACCCUUAGUGGUAAAACCACAAGCAGAAUGGUCAAAAGAAGAAAACUAAAAGGUAACCAAAAAUAGUUGAUGUCGUGUGAGGUUUCUCCCUCGUGUGUCUUAGGUGCUCUGA
This is a long non-coding RNA of Medicago truncatula (barrel medic), 317 nucleotides long. RefSeq lists it as uncharacterized. The record is from RefSeq and is a predicted model, not a curated record. The transcript is spliced from 3 exons. Lineage: Eukaryota; Viridiplantae; Streptophyta; Magnoliopsida; Fabales; Fabaceae.